This is a long non-coding RNA of Nicotiana attenuata, 2591 nucleotides long. RefSeq lists it as uncharacterized. The record is from RefSeq and is a predicted model, not a curated record. The transcript has 3 exons. Lineage: Eukaryota; Viridiplantae; Streptophyta; Magnoliopsida; Solanales; Solanaceae.
UAAAUGACUUCCUAGAAAUAAGAAAGAGCAUUUUUUUUCCUAUUUAUUUGACCCUCUUGUAAACUACUUGGAUCGGCUUGAAGUCAUUGGGCGGAAGUGGUGAAACAACAUGCUAAAAGAAAUUCCUUUUAGCAACUCAAUAUUAGGCUUUGGAGUUUUUCUUAGCCAGAGUUGUUUUCCCUCUUCUCAACUCUGUCUCUCUCAGGCGAAACAGUGUUAGAUCUGCAGAACUUUAUUUCUCUAUUUAUGCCUUUUUCACUUUUGUUGAGUAAAAGUUAUUUUUUCGGGAUCUGUUCAGAUAUUUUCCUUAUUCCGUUUUGGGAUCACUGAGAAGUUCAUUGAUCUAUAUGGGUUGAUUCCUACGGCUAUUGUGAAAUUGAAUUAGUGUUUGUGUUAUCUCUAGCGCGUACUGUUCAGGAUGAUGAAGAAGACUAUAAACAACCAAGCCAUGGAACUGAGCUACCUGCUUGAAAAAAUUGAUACAGCAGCCUACGAUUUCACCUCUUGUUGGCUUUCUCAGGUUCUCGCUUCCCUCCUCCUUAUGUGAUGUGUCAAGAAUAAACUAUGGGCACAAUUUAAUCUCACGGUUUAACAAUAGCCUCUUAUGACUUUCCAUUUAACUUUAUGAAAGCAUAGCCACAAUCACGAUUCCUCUAUCUCUUUUCACUAAUAUAUUACCCACAAAAGCUGCAAUGGGUAGAAAAUGUAAUUAGUUUGGGGGUAGAAAAACUAAUGGGUAGAUAAGGGUAAUUAGUUUAGUUUUUGUGGGUAAAGGUAUAAAACUCUCAUUAUCUUUGUCAAUUCAGUUUCCAAAAGAGAUCAAAAAGUGGGGGUCUGUGCAUUUGAGCCUUUUAUUUUGCACUUUUCCUUCGAAUGAGUGUUUCCUGAUCAGUCAUUUCCAAGCCAAACUUUCGAAACAACUUCCCUCUCUUCCUUUCUGAGUUUCUGUUUCUUUUUUCCUCCAUGGGUAUAGUAAUAUUUUGUGGCCAAUGAACUUCAUCCACUGUAACAUUAAAGUCACCUUAUUGGGUAGGCUUUGUCAUUUAUGGAUAAAGCUUAAUGACUUACUAUUGUAGUAAGUACAUUUCAACUACUUUAAUGUGACAAUAAAGUUUUGUGACUUUACCGUUAUAGUCGGUCGAGUUUAGUUACUUUACUGUUAUACAGGUUAAAGUUCGGUUACUUUAGCGCGACAAAACAAUUUCUAACUUUACCAUUAUAAUGGAUAAAGUACGUGAAAUUUAACCCUUAAAAGUUUCUUGUAAAUUCCUUUUACUUGCAACUAUUUCGAAUUAUAUUUGUUCACCCAAUUAACAUCCGAUGAUAUUUCAAAUCCCUGUCAAAGAUAGCCAUUGCAAAUGAAAGUUGAACAUGAAAAGACAAUGCAGGAUGGAAAAAACACAUGGUAAGUGAAGUCUUGUCAAGGCAAAACCAAACAAACGUCUAAAGCAUAGUUGAUGCUAUAACUAGAAAAAUUGAAAUAUAGGGAAAACAGACUCACGAGGGCGUAUAUAUCAAGUACUUGAGAGGGGGAAACAUAGAGAACAUCCACUUAGGAAUGAGCUCAAAGUUGCAAUGCCCCAUGUUGUUCAUGAAAUCAACGUAAGUGAUGUACGCAACAAAUGCAGCUAUAGAAGCAGUUCCAGUGAAACAAGUUGUGACCGCCGGUAUAACAAAGAUAGUGUAAUAUGCUACGAUCUCAGCAAACGGAUGAAUAACAGCUGCAACAAUAAAAAACUUUGCUUUGUAAGUAUUUGCAGAUAGGUCAUUGAUUGUCUUUGAAAUUAAACGGAAACCAAGUGACCUACAAGCCAGUAGGCAGGUCUUUAAUAUGCAGAAAGCCAAUCUACAAAGUACUUAUAUUCUCAUCCAUCCCAUUUAAAUCAUAUACGUGACAGCCAUUCUACAAGAUCUUUUUAACAUUAUCUACUGACUACUGUCGAUAUUAUUGUCUAGGUUACUAUGUCAGGCUUAAUAUAAGCUCCUUGUAAUAUCUGAUAUAUUUUCUCAAAGACUGAUUGUUCUGCCUCUAGAAAACUACAUCAAAUUAAACAUAUGAUACAAAACGUUUACGAAGGCCACUUACAAGUGAUGGGCUCAGUAACCAUGGAGGAGUGAUGAUGGGAAUGAUAACGAGAGUAGAGAAAAUGGUGGUGCAGAGCUCUGUGAAGCCAAUAAUAGAGAAACUCCACCGGACCGAGAUGCAUCAAGGCAGUUAUUAUGAUCCCAUCAGUCCUCCACAAAGGCAAGUGAUGAGUCUGUUGGAACUUCAGGUAUGCAAUGUAGAAUAACAUUCCAUUAAAUAUGAUUUGAUCAUCCCUACAAAAAUACUUCAACCUUAAAUCAAUUUUGUCAUGUACAUUUGUUUUGCACGUUCUUUUUUGCUUUGUUGGAUUCUUUUUAGACACUGUCGAAACCUAAUUAGUACUGUCAAAGCAUGGUUUAGACAUGUGCGACCUAGUCCAAGAUUCUGACUCCUAUCAGGUGUAUAGCUUUUCUUCUGGCUGAAACUUUCCCAUAACACCUUCAGCUGGAGAACACUUGAUUUGCAUCAUAACUUUUAAUGCACAAAAGGGUCUUGGUUGUAGCAA